AGGGAAGAGAAAGAAGGAGAGGAAGAAGGAGAAGAAGAGGGAAGAGAAAGAGGAAGAGGGAGAGGGUUUGCUUUCACCGCCGCCGCCGCCGCAUCUCCUCCCUCACCGGCGACGAAGAAGAGGAGGAGGAAAAGGGAGAAGAAGAGGGAAGAGGAAGAGGGUUCGUCGCCGCCGCAUCUUCUCCCUCGCCGGUGAUGAAGAAAAGGAAAGAGGAAGAAGGAGAGGAAGAAGAAGGGGGAAGAGGAAAAAUGAGAGGAAGAGAGAAGAGGAAGAGGAAGAGGAAGAGGGAGAGGGAGAGGGCCGCCGCCAAUGCCGCCGUCGCCGUCGCCAUCGCCGCCGCCGUCGCCGUCGAAGAAGAUGGAAGAGGAAGAAGGGUAAAACCGUCAAUUUACGUUAUUAAUUAACCAUGGUUAAGUUUUUAACUGUGGUUAAUGAAAUUUUUUUAACAGACCUUAACGGUAGGGANGGGAGGCGGCGGCGGCGGCGGAGCUUCGCCGUCGUCGGAGGUGGCGCCGCCGGCGAGGUGGUCGUCGACGUCGUCGUAGAAGGCGCCGACGUAGCCGUCCCCGAAGUAGACCCUCUUCCGCACCCUGUUCCCGCCCACGUGCGAGAUCACGCACGUGUAGCUCUCCGAGAGCUCCAUCUCCUCCCUCGUCCUCGCCCUCUUCGCAGCCCCCGCCGCCGCCGCCGCCGCCGCUGCCGCGCGGCCGAUCGGGAUCGGCUCCGC
Molecule: long non-coding RNA, 727 nt
Filed under: Ananas comosus (pineapple)
Lineage: Eukaryota; Viridiplantae; Streptophyta; Magnoliopsida; Poales; Bromeliaceae
Description: long non-coding RNA (ACOM_LNC041213)
Source: RNAcentral